RNAcentral lists this small RNA (125 nucleotides) under Marmota monax (woodchuck). Lineage: Eukaryota; Metazoa; Chordata; Mammalia; Rodentia; Sciuridae. The record is from RNAcentral.
GCUGGGUGUCGUGGCGCACGCCUGUAAUCCCAGUGGCUUGGGAGGCUGAGGCAGGAGGAUCGCGAGUUCAAAGCCAGCCUCAGCAAAAGCGAGGUGCUAAGCAACUCAGUGAGACCCUGUCUCUA